This 250-nucleotide ribosomal RNA is filed under the name uncultured bacterium. RNAcentral's name for it is "partial 16S ribosomal RNA". It matches the Rfam family "Bacterial small subunit ribosomal RNA", at positions 524 to 773 of the family's 1533-position model. The record is from RNAcentral.
UACGGAGGGUGCAAGCGUUGUCCGGAUUUAUUGGGUUUAAAGGGUGCGUAGGCGGCCCAUUAAGUCAGCGGUGAAAGUUUAUGGCUCAACCAUGAAAUUGCCGUUGAUACUGGGGGGCUUGAGUGUCGAUGGGGUACAUGGAAUUUAUGGUGUAGCGGUGAAAUGCAUAGAUACCAUAAGGAACACCGAUAGCGAAGGCAUUGUACUUAUCGACAACUGACGCUGAGGCACGAAAGCGCGGGUAGCGAAC